This is a non-coding RNA of Callithrix jacchus (white-tufted-ear marmoset), 546 nucleotides long. Lineage: Eukaryota; Metazoa; Chordata; Mammalia; Primates; Cebidae. The record is from RefSeq and is a predicted model, not a curated record.
AAUUCAAUUAAACCAUAUGGGAAAUGAAGUUUGGUUGUUGGUGGAUUUUUUCUUUCUGAAAGAAGAAAAUAAUCAAAAAUUUGGCAAGAUGGAAAGCAAGAAGCAAUUUGCAAACGGUGAAAUCAAACAGUGCCACAUCAAAAUAAGAGGGAAGGAAAUCCAGCAGCGAAGCAGUGCCUGACAAAGUAGACACUCAGUGACUAGCGAAUGGAAGACUGAAUAAAAGAGUGAAGAAGUGAGACUUCCCAACAACUCCAUACAGAACUGGACCAACUGCUUCACAGCCCAUCUUAAUCGAGUAUGAAUCCCACCGAUGGCAUGACCAGUGGAGAUGCCCCUGGCAUCAAUGCCUCCUCUUUCCCUUGGGUCCAGAAACACGCCAUUCUCUAGAAGAUAAUUUAUAAGAGGCUGAACUAACUCUCUCUACCUGGAAGUUAAUAGUAUGAAAGAAAGGAAGGUGCCUCAUAUGCUGAAGAGUGUAGUCUUUGAUCAGGUUCAAAGACAUGGGUUUAAUUCUUCACUAACCUAUUUACUGGCUUUGUGGCC